Molecule: ribosomal RNA, 392 nt
Filed under: Pollimyrus sp. AMNH228155
Lineage: Eukaryota; Metazoa; Chordata; Actinopteri; Osteoglossiformes; Mormyridae
Description: partial 12S ribosomal RNA
Rfam family: Bacterial small subunit ribosomal RNA
Source: RNAcentral
GCCCAGUCAUAAACCUUGAUGAUAAAAUACAAAUAUCAUCCGCCAGGGAACUACAAGCGUAUUGCUCGAAACCCAACGGACUUGGCGGUGCCCCACACCCACCUAGAGGAGCCUGUUCUAUAACUGACAAUCCCCGUUCAACCUCACCACCCCUAGCCUAUUCAGUCUAUAUACCACCGUCGUAAGCUCACCCUGUGAAGGAUUAACAGUAAGCAAGAUGGGCAAACCCCAAAACGUCAGGUCGAGGUGUAGCAUAUGGAGUGGGAAGAAAUGGGCUACAUUUUCUGAACACAGAAUAUUAACGGACAACGUCAUGAAACCUGCCGUUCAAAGGAGGAUUUAGCAGUAAAAAGAAAAUAGAGAGUUCUUUUGAAGCCGGCCCUGGGGCGCGC